GGCUAUGUAGUUUAUUUAAGACGUCAGGCUGCAAUCCUGAAGAUGUGGUUUAUACCUUAGCUU
Molecule: transfer RNA, 63 nt
Filed under: Macrobrachium bullatum
Lineage: Eukaryota; Metazoa; Arthropoda; Malacostraca; Decapoda; Palaemonidae
Description: tRNA-Cys
Rfam family: tRNA
About the family: Transfer RNA (tRNA) molecules are approximately 80 nucleotides in length.
Source: RNAcentral